UGUGUGCUUCCAUGAAACAAUAAGGAUGGAGAGUUCCACCUUAAAUACCCAUUUAAGUUCCAUCUCUCCUCCUAUGUGGGACAAGCAUCGAUAUCUCAUUCAUCUUAGCUCGGUUUUGGACGCGGUUUAGUUCGUUGCGAAGCUCUUCCAACAUAGAACACAAACCCACAAAUAAAUACAUAAAACCCGCUCAUUUUAUUAUAUUUAUUUCUAGUCCAAAAUAGGAAAAAAUCAUUUUCCUAUAUUUGUGAAAAAUGCUAUUUUCACUUAUUUUCCAACAAUCCCCCACAUGAAAAAUGCUAUUUUCAUCAAAUUUCCAACAAUCCCCCACAUGUAUGGAAAUGGAUCUUUUCCUUACACUUUUCAACGAUAAACUUCGACAGUUGAGUAUUGCAAGAUAGGUAGGUUGAAGCCUUUGAACCUUCUUUUGUGAAGCGCACUUAGCUUACUAGCGAUAUGUAGACGCGAUGUCCUUGAACAUACCCCCAUUUGUGUAAACGACAAUACACUUCACACAAUACUCUCCCUGGUUUGGCCAACUCCUCAUUGUCGUGUCCUAUUAUGGUCCUGGAACACUAGCCUGGUUCUGCGAGAGCUCUAGGAUUUGCGCACCCCACAAAUCCAUUUGAAGCGACCCCACUUCUCUCUAACAUAGGUGAUUCCCAUGAAUCAUUAAAAGCAUCAUGGUUAUUUGAUUUCCCGAAAUCAUUAACCUUAAUAUGCUUAACCUCACUUCAUGUCACUGAUUGGAAUGGACUAGGAAGUAUAUGUAACUCCCUUUUAUGUAGUUUGGGGUACUCCCCCACAGUGACUCCGUUCUGGUAAUAUGAUUAAGUUGUCCUAUUGAACUUAGAUCUUGGGAUCUCCAGUCAACUAAGUUAGGUUUCCCUCAUAUUCCCAUUAACCACGGGCUUUAGUCCCAUUCCUCUUGACGACGUUUCUACUAACUCUCUGCUUAAGCCUUUUGUAAACGGGUCCGCAAUGUUAUCCGCUGAUCUCACAUAAUCAAUUGUGAUAACACCCGUUGAGAGUAGUUGUCGUAUCGUGUUAUGUCUACGUCGCAUAUGCCUUGAUCUGCCAUUGUACAUCAAGCUUUGAGCUCUACCAAUCGCUGAUUGGCUAUCACAAUGUACACAUAUGGCUGGCAAAGGCUUUGGCCAUCUUGGAAUAUCUUCCACGAAUUGACGUAGCCAUUCCGCCUCCUCGCCUGACUUAUCCAAGGCGAUAAAUUCAGAUUCCAUUGUGGAUCUCGCUAUGACUGUUUGCUUAGAAGACUUCCAAGCAAUAGCAGCUCCUCCAAGUGUAAACACGUAACCACUUGUUGAUUUGGAAUCUUUAUUAUCCGAUAUCCAGUUUGCAUCAGUGUAUCCUUCGAUCACUGCUGGUUGUCGGGUAUAAUGCAGUCCAUAGUCUCUUGUGUAUCGUAUGUAUCUAAGCACCCUCGUGAUAGCCUUCCAAUGAUCCGCGCACGGAUUGCUGGUGUAUCUACUUAGCCUACUCACCGCGUAAGCCAAGUCGGGUCUAGUACAUGUCAUUAGAUACAUUAGACUACCUAUAAUUCUUGAAUACUCUAACUGAGCAACUCCAUCUCCUUUAUUCUUCUUGAGAUGUUGGGAGGUAUCAACUGGAGUUCGAGCGACACUCGUAUCUCCCGAGUUGAAUUUUUCAAGAAUUUUAUCCACAUAGUGAGAUUGACUUAAGACAAGACCUUCUUGGGUUCUUAUGAUCUUUACUCCAAGAAUCACAUCCGCUAAACCCAUGUCUUUCAUGUCAAAUCUCGCUUUCAACAUGCUUUUAGUAGCUUUGAUAAUUUUAUCAUUACUCCCAAUGAUAAGCAUAUCGUCUACAUAAAGGCAUAAGAUGACAUAACCUUCAUUUGUGUCUUUGAAGUAAACACAUUUGUCGCACUCAUUUAUUUUGAAACCAUUGUCAAUCAUGACAUGAUCAAACUUUUGGUGCCAUUGUUUUGGUGCUUGCUUCAAGCCAUACAAAGACUUGACGAGUUUACAUACUUUACCCUCUUGACCUGGGGCGGAGAAACCUUCAGGUUGCUCCAUGUAAAUUUCUUCUUCUAAAUCGCCAUUUAGAAAUGCGGUUUUAACGUCCAUUUGGUGAACUUCCAAAUUUCUUAAAGCCGCUAUAGCAAGAACCAAUCUAAUCGAGGUUAUGCGCGUCACAGGCGAGUAGGUAUCAAAGUAAUCUAGACCUUCCUUUUGUCUAAAUCCUUUAAUCACCAACCUAGCCUUGUACUUAUCAAUACUUCCAUCAGUUUUCAUCUUCCUUUUGAAUAUCCAACGAUAUCCAAGUGGUUUGCAACCAGGUGGAAGAUCUACUAACUCCCAAGUAUGAUUUUGCAAUAUAGAAUCUAUUUCAUUUCUUAUUGCUUCUUUCCAUUGAGGUCCUUCUGAAGAGGAGACCGCUUCGCGAUAUGUAUUGGGCUCGCCCUCAACCAUAUAGCUAACGAAGUCUGGACCGAAGGAUUUUUCAACCCUUGGCCUUUUACUUCGCCUACGAUCGGUUUCUUCAACCUCAGGUUGUUCAUGUGUCUUAUCAUGAACCACCUCAUCAACUGGUGUAGAUGAACUUUCACCUACUUCAAAAUUGGGUGUUGAUGACGUUGCAUGUGUUUGUCUUCUCAAAGGAAACACAUUUUCAAAGUAAGACACAACGUUAGAAUUCACCUCCAUAAUAGUGUUUACGUGUACAUCAGGAUUCUUGGACUCAUGUACAAGAAAGCGAUGUGCACUACUUUGAUGUGCAUACCCAAUAAAUAUGCAAUCAACAGUUUUGGGUCCUAUCCUAAGAGCCUUAGGAGGUGGUACAGUCACCUUUGCUAGGCACCCCCACACUUUCAAGUAUUUGUAUGAAGGUUUCUUCCUUUUCCAUAACUCAUAUGGAGUUUCGUCUCUCUUUUUGAGUGGUAUCCUGUUCAAAAGAUAGUUAGCCGAGAGAAUGGCUUCCCCCCACAGUUCGUGGCUCACCCCAGAACUUAUCAACAUGGCGUUCAUCAUUUCUUUCAAUGUGCGGUUCUUUCGUUCCGCCACGCCAUUUGAUUGUGGAGAGUAAGGAGGUGUACACUCAUGUACAAUGCCACUUUUUGCGCAUAACUCGGCAAAAGGUGCAACAUAUUCGCCUCCUCGAUCGCUUCGCAAAGCUUUUAUCUUCUUUUGAAGUUGAUUCUCAACUUCAUUUUUAUACAAGAUAAAUUUAGUUAUUGCUUCAUCUUUACUUUUUAGUAAAUAUACAUAGCAAUAUUUAGUACUAUCGUCAAUAAACGUGAUGAAGUACUUAUUUCCACCUCUUGUGGGUACCACUUUUAAAUCACAAAUAUCAGUGUGAAUUAAAUCAAGGGGUUCGGUUAUUCGUUCAACCGAUUUCGAUGAUGUUCUUGUAAGUUUGGAUUCAACGCAUGUUUCACAUUUAUAGUGUGAAUCAAUAU
Molecule: long non-coding RNA, 3439 nt
Filed under: Helianthus annuus (common sunflower)
Lineage: Eukaryota; Viridiplantae; Streptophyta; Magnoliopsida; Asterales; Asteraceae
Source: RNAcentral